AUGGUGGGCGCAUGGCAGGAGAAUCUCCAUGGUUCUUGAGAUCAGGAGCAGCAUAGGCAGUAUGAGGAUGGAGAAGAAUGGCUGGGCUGUUCCUCCUCCUCAAGAACUCUUUCAGUUUGUCCAUGCCUUUCAUGGGCUAAUUCCCUGGACUCCAGAAGUGCGGGUCGCUUAGGAAGGUAUGAACAAACCGGCAAGUCAUAAAUCGGCGAUGGUGAACUCCAACAGGAGUCUA
This 232-nucleotide small RNA is filed under the name Leersia perrieri. Its description in RNAcentral is "sRNA enod40". It matches the Rfam family "Early nodulin 40". Lineage: Eukaryota; Viridiplantae; Streptophyta; Magnoliopsida; Poales; Poaceae. The record is from Rfam by way of RNAcentral.